AAAUGGCGUCGAAUCAACAUCGUUUGACAUAUUACAUAAAAUAACCGUGAAAUGUCUAUUUUUUAAUCGAGAAUUUUUCAAAUAGUCAAUCAUUUGGAAUAUGUCAAAGUUGUCAUUAUUUUUGCGUUGUAAAUUUAAAGUUUCUUGUAAAAUUAAUUGAAACAUGGCCGAAAAUGAAGUCAUACAAAAGAACGAUAAUACAAGAGAAAAAACCGGAAGUAUAUUACGUCAUAUUUUAAAAGUUAAAGAUGAAUUAAUAGAACUUCCGGAAUAUGCUGUCCUAACAGACAGAAUCGACGGUGGUUCUUCUUGUGAAACUAUAACAUUAGAUGACGAAUUUACACCUAGAAACAUAGAAAAUAUUUGUGAAUAUCACCGAGAAACAUUCUCAGACGAUUCGUUGGAAGAUUCUAGCGGGAAAGUAAACGUCAAAAAUGUGGGCGGUGCGAAGCACCAUCGAUCUAAUCUCGUGGGAUCAUUGACUUCAACUAAUUUAAAUGCUGGAGCUGAAAAAUCGUUAAAGAAACCGAGUAUGAUACCGAAAUUAUCUCGAAAUUUCAAAACGAAAUCAAAUUCAAACGAACAUAAAUAUUUAUGUAAAAAUAGUUGUGUGGACGAACAAAAAAAAUAUCAAAAUGUAAAAACGAACGUUAAAUUCCCCAAAUGUCAAGUGGACGUACCCCCGAUGAAACUGACCAACUUACAACAAAAAUUAAAAGCCACGACGUCGAUAAUUAAACAAAAAAUGGAAUACGGUAACCCGAAAGUUAAUAACGGCUCGAAAGAUGUUGGUAGGGGCCGAUGCGUACACUCAAAUAGCUCUUACGCUCUGAUUGGUCAAGAAAAAUCGACGAAUAGUCUGGCGGCUCUGUACGGAAAUAUAGUUCAAAUGCGUGAAACGGCUUUGGCGCUUUCUAAAAGCGACAAUUUCAAAAAUCAAAAAGGAUAUAUCGAAAAAUUGUUUAAGAGCAUCUCGGACAUUCAAAAUAUUGCGGAUAAAUUAGAUGAAAUUGAAAGAAAAAUGCAGUACGUGGGGUGAGUUUAGACUAAAUAUUAAGUUUUAAUAACAAAUUUGAAGUAUCUGUGAGCGGACAAAGACCAGUCAAGAUCCUUAAAUCGAAAAUAGGGAUAAAUAAAGAACAUAACCUCAGCUUUUCAGAUACGAAACUUAAUAAAGACGUAAAAUCGAGAGAUAAAGAUAAUAUAUCGUCAAAUGACGUAUAUCAAGAAGUUGCUUCGAAUAUGACCUUGACUGCUUGAAUUCUCCGUAAAUUUAAGUUAUUAUGUAAACAGUAGUUUCAUAUUAUUUUUAUCGUUAUUAUAAUAAAAAAAGUAUUUUGUUC
Diorhabda carinulata is the source of this 1343-nucleotide RNA transcript. RefSeq lists it as uncharacterized. The record is from RefSeq and is a predicted model, not a curated record. Lineage: Eukaryota; Metazoa; Arthropoda; Insecta; Coleoptera; Chrysomelidae. The transcript has 6 exons.